GAUUCUUUAAGGUGAAUUACUAGUUUUACUGCAUCCUUGUAGUCUCCUUCCUCCUGAUUUAACACAUUUUCGAAGAUUUGGCACCAUUUGAGACCCAAAAAAUAGCUAAAAUUUUAAGCUGGUUAAAACUUAAAGGAAACCAACAAGGUACACACUUAACAGCCUAAUACGCCUCACAUGACUACAAAUCAAUUACGUCAAAAAAAUUAACCACAACAUAAAUCUCCCCCAGACUUAUUCCAACAAGAAGAUUUGUCUACAGAGACCAAAUAUGUUGCUGCUAAAUAUUCCAUUUUUGAGGACUCAUGAGCAAUUUAGGGCUUAGGUGAACAGAUCUUCGACUUGAGAACAGGGGAUGGGCUGACUUCUAAUUAGGGGACAAAGAAAGAAAAGCAAAUGGCGUAUAUGCAAAGGCUUUUUCGACAAGGGUUGUUGGUGGGUGAGGUCAUUAGGAGUGGGUUGAGAUCUGCAAUUGGAG
This 478-nucleotide long non-coding RNA is filed under the name Panax ginseng (ginseng). RNAcentral describes it as "long non-coding RNA (PGIN_LNC019260)". Lineage: Eukaryota; Viridiplantae; Streptophyta; Magnoliopsida; Apiales; Araliaceae. The record is from RNAcentral.